Molecule: ribosomal RNA, 253 nt
Filed under: uncultured bacterium
Lineage: Bacteria
Description: partial 16S ribosomal RNA
Rfam family: Bacterial small subunit ribosomal RNA
Source: RNAcentral
UACGAAGGGGGCUAGCGUUGCUCGGAAUCACUGGGCGUAAAGGGUGCGUAGGCGGGUCUUUAAGUCAGGGGUGAAAUCCUGGAGCUCAACUCCAGAUCUGCCUUUGAUACUGAGGAUCUUGAGUUCGGGAGAGGUGAGUGGAACUGCGAGUGUAGAGGUGAAAUUCGUAGAUAUUGGGAAGAACACCAGUGGCGAAGGCGGCUCACUGGCCCGUUACCGACGCUCAGGCGCGACAGCGUGGGGAGCAAACAGG